RNAcentral lists this ribosomal RNA (567 nucleotides) under uncultured bacterium. RNAcentral describes it as "partial 16S ribosomal RNA". It matches the Rfam family "Bacterial small subunit ribosomal RNA", at positions 355 to 912 of the family's 1533-position model. The record is from RNAcentral.
UGGGGAAUAUUGCACAAUGGGCGCAAGCCUGAUGCAGCCAUGCCGCGUGUGUGAAGAAGGCCUUCGGGUUGUAAAGCACUUUCAGCGAGGAGGAAGGUGGUGAACUUAAUACGUUCAUCAAUUGACGUUACUCGCAGAAGAAGCACCGGCUAACUCCGUGCCAGCAGCCGCGGUAAUACGGAGGGUGCAAGCGUUAAUCGGAAUUACUGGGCGUAAAGCGCACGCAGGCGGUUUGUUAAGUCAGAUGUGAAAUCCCCGGGCUCAACCUGGGAACUGCAUUUGAAACUGGCAAGCUAGAGUCUCGUAGAGGGGGGUAGAAUUCCAGGUGUAGCGGUGAAAUGCGUAGAGAUCUGGAGGAAUACCGGUGGCGAAGGCGGCCCCCUGGACGAAGACUGACGCUCAGGUGCGAAAGCGUGGGGCAGCAAACAGGAUUAGAUACCCUGGUAGUCCACGCUGUAAACGAUGUCGAUUUUGGAGGUUGUGCCCUUGAGGCGUGGCUUCCGGAGCUAACGCGUUAAAUCGACCGCCUGGGGAGUACGGCCGCAAGGUUAAAACUCAAAGGAAUUG